GAAGUGAAUGAAGAAGGCACAGAAGCUGCAGCUGCUUCUGCCGGCGUUAUAAGUGAGAGGAGGAUGCCCAUGACAUUUGUGGCUGAUCGUCCAUUCCUCUUCACGAUCAGGGAAGAAACGACCGGAACAGUUCUGUUCAUCGGUAACCUGCUCAACCCUCUUGCCGGCUGAGUGUUACAACCCCCUGGGAAAGGGCAUCAGAUGUACGUAGAAUAAUACGCGCGAGACUGUAGUAAAUAAAAUGUAUGAUCCUUGUAUACAUGUACUAUGUUUGGUUAUUACCUAAUCACCCUGUACUUGCAGCAGUUGGUCUUGUUUCUCCCAUGUGGCGAUUUUUGUUUGUUCUCCCAUGGCGUUUAUCCAUGUGUAGAAUCUUGAUUCUGAAUACUUAUUUUAUGAUGUACUCUGUUUGAACAAUAAAAGUUUUAGCCGACUGCAAACGUCGGUUAGUGUUAAAGUAUUUAAUAUAUAGAAUGGACGAGUGCUAGUGUUGUACCAUACACAUGGUUGGUGAUGAAAAAGAUUAAACUUUGAAUAUUCUAUAAAAUAUUAUUUAACUUGGGACGAGGAUCUUCUUUGUGAGGAUCUUAUGAAUUAAUUUAUCUUAACGGUUCAUUGUACAUCGUGUGACCAUCUUUCAUUAGAUACUUUUUGUGUUAAAUUUUAAAUAAAUUCAAAAUAAUUUUUGGCUGCAGGAUGAUUGAUAAACAGAUAUGAUGCAUUGAUUCCUAAAGUCCUCACAAAGAGAAUCCGGAUGUUUAUAGUCCUCCAUGACUGGAGAUGGCCUAAGAUGCUAAACACUUAACACUACCCAAUUUUUCCAGUUAGUUAAAUUUUCACAAUUAGUGUAUUAAAUUGCUUAAGAAAUGUUAUCAGCACUCUAAAAUAAUUGACCAUAUUUUCUUGACUCUUUUGUUAAAUUGCAUGAAGAUUUUUUUGGAUAGUCAAUAAUAUCUCCCAAUUGCUUAACAUAGAAUUAAAUAGAGUAUCGCUAACUAGAGCAUGAUAUGUUUCUGUGUCUUUGAUGCCCUUUGCUCGAGAAAAUUUAGUAUAGGGUUUUCAUCACAAAUGGUCCCUGACAUUGAUCAAACACAUCAUUUUGGUCCCUGACAUUGAAAAUCAAUAGAAAUGGUCCCUGACAUUGAUCAAACACAUCAUUUUGGUCCCUGACAUUGAAAAUCAAUAGAAAUGGUCCCUGACAUUGAUCAAACACAUCACAAAUAGUCCUUCCGUUAAAAACGUUUUGGGCAAUUUUCAAAGCUUUGUAACUCAAUCGUUUCUUAACCAAAUUCGACCCAUAAUAUAUCAAAAUGAAGAUAGGAAAGUGUAGAACAAGAUUAUACCUAUUUGGAAACCCAAUGGUUGCCGGAGAUGGCCGGAAAACAGCCUCAAAUGUGACUGGUCCGCGAAAAAACUGGAAAACUCGCCUGAAAUGGGGUAAACUUUAAACAUUCAUAACUUCUUCAAUAAUCAACGAAAUCGAGUGAUUCAAAAAUGAAAAUCAUACUUCUCGACGAGACUAAGAGAAUGGUAGCUUUCUUGAUGGCUAACUCAUUGUAGUUUGGCCGGAAAAUGACUCGAAAUUGGCUAACUCGAAAAUGGUUAUCCAAGUUCGAGCCAUUUUCCGGUCAAACCACGGUAAAUUAGUAGUCAAUAAAGAUACCAUUAUCUUUCUCUCAUUGAGAAGUAUGAUUUUCAUUUUUGAAUCACUCAAUUUCAUUGAGUAUUGAAGAAGUUAUGAAUGUUUAAAGUUUACCCCAUUUCAGGCGAGUUUUUCAGUUUUUUCGCGGACCAGUCACAUUUGAGGCUGUUUUCCGGCCAUCUCCGGCAACCAUUGGGUUUCUAAAUAGGUAUAAUCUUGUUCUACACUUUCCUAUCUUCAUUUUGAUAUAUCAUGGGUCGAAUUUGGUUAAGAAACGAUUGAGUUACGAAGCUUUGAAAAUUGCCCAAAACGUUUUUAACGGAAGGACCAUUUGUGAUGUGUUUGAUCAAUGUCAGGGACCAUUUCUAUUGAUUUUCAAUGUCAGGGACCAAAAUGAUGUGUUUGAUCAAUGUCAGGGAUCAUUUGUGAUGAAAACCCUUUAGUAUAUGAACGACAAACUACGUGUUAUUACGGCCACAGACGAUAAUCCAGACUAUUUGUUUAAUACUUAAGCUUACUUGUGGUCCCAUUAUGUAAAAAAAUUUUGCAUUAGUCUGCACACAAGAAAUUUUUUAUUGGUUUCAGUUGAGCUCAAAUAAUAAUAAUCUGUUCGUGUAAAAGUUAAAAUUUAUCUUAUUAUGUAAUUGAUUUAAAAUACCGUAAAUACUGAUUUAAAAUUAUCUCAUUGUCAGCUUGUGUGUCAUUCUCGUAGAAUUUGGAAUUAUUCACAUUGUUUAGUAACGUAGGAUAUUUCAAGAAGCAUUUUUGCUCACUAUCAUUUAGUGUAAUGUAUAUUCAUCAUUCUAUUUAUCAUCGUUAGAUGAGUUUGAAUUUUAAGAUCCGUGUAGUGGAUAGACACAAAUUUCAAAAUUCAAUCUCAUCUAACGAUAAUAAAUAUGAUGAUGAACAUAAAUCAAAUAAAUGAUGAUGAAAAAAAAUACAUAGAUAUUUCAGUACAUGAAAACGUCACGUUAAUGAAAGGAGCUGGAGCGCCUGCUGCUGACCUCGGUCAAACAGACGGUGUGGGUUUCACGUGGCUGGCGCGAAAUCUAAACCGUUAAUUUAAUGUUAGUUAUCUCUCCCCUUGUCACGACUCCCAUGUAAUGCUGUAAAGUCACAAGCACCCAUCGUUUGGUUCUAAUAUUACAACAGUACCGCCCAUGGAAACACAAUCUUAAGCAAUCUCUAAUACUCAUAAUGUUGUUGAAGUUUUGCACUAAUAAUAGUUGCUAAACAGUGAUUAGACAGUCAGAUAAGAGACAGGGUUUAUGAUGUGAUUUGGACGUCCCAUCCUUUGCCACUUAAAAUGUCUUACCUACCAAACAUAUCUUGAAAAAUAAUUUAGCUUGGUACGAAGAAUCACAAUUUUUGUUUAUAAUUGACGAAAUCAAUCAAUGCAUGUUUUUUAUCAAAUCAAUAUUUAUUGGGAUAUUCAUCCUUAAAAUCUUCAUUUUGUUAUAAAACAACAAUAUAUUUAUUAUUUUUAAAAUUUUGUAAUACGUUUAUUUAAGUAGUGACUUUGAACGUUUUAAAAUUGAAAAAUCAAUAUUUAAAUGCAAAGUUGUCCGUUUUGAAUAAUCUCUAACAAUAUUUUCCUUCUCGUAAAUGAGUAAGAUUGGUUUAUUUUGUACACAAUUAGAUAUUGAGAGUUGAAAUUCUAAAUACUAAGUUCUUCUUAACAUAUUUUCGUAACCAUUUAAGAUGUUUGUAUAUUCGAAGAAUAUGGAAAAAUUGAAUCAACCCAGAUUAUUAUUAUGGCUGUCGACAUCUUUUAUCAGAGGAUAGCCAUCAAGUCACACCGCAUAUCCAGAAAGAGAAAUCCAUCCAAAAAAUAGGAAAACGAAAUGACAUUCCUUAUUUUCCUCCAUGGACGUCCCUUCUCUCCCCACCACGAAGGUCCCAGCUGAAAAGAAACGGAUGGCACAAUCGUGAUUAUCACAAACAGGAAUGUCAAAUUGUAGCAAGAGCAUGGUCAGCGCCGUUACAAAUAAGUGGAAGUUCCUCGGAAGAGUAAGAGAACGCGACAAUCAUAACGUAAUCUAUCUCUUCACUUUCUCAAUCCUUUUCUAUCUUUUUUUUCUUUCUGGGUUCCUUGUACUUCUCAUAAAUAUUAAGAGUUUAAUUCAAAAGAAAGGAACUUUCUCUUUCAUUGCUUACAUUUUUUUUUUCAGAUUAUUUACUUUCCCUUCCUUGCAGUUGCUUGGAAGAAACCAAGCUCAGAAGACCUUUGUUUUUUGAGAAUUCAGUUCAAUCCGUUUAUAUAUAUAUAUAUAUAUGGUGUUGAUGAUUUACCAGAAGUGAUAGUGCUUCAACCGAGAAGAAGAAGCUUUUAGUCUUCAGAAAUUCAGAGAAAAGAUAAGGAAGUGGAAGAGUGAAGGAAAAGCAAAUCAAAAGAUGGGAGAAACUGCUCCUCAUCCUCCACCACAGGUGGUUGCUCGGCCGUCUCAGAUGCCUCUUGGGGCAGCGAAGGGUCCCCAUUUGGACUCCAACUGAGCAGCUCCACAACCUUCAGUAUUGCAUCCACUCCAACCCCUCUUAGCGUUAGUCUCUCUCUGUUUCUGUUAAUUUCUUCGUUCUGGGUUUUAUAUUUUUUGAGUAAAAAGCUGAUUAAAGUUGUGCUAUUUUAAUGGGUUGGUUUAAAAGUUGAAGCUUUUGGCACUACUUCUUAUUUAGUUUACUAGUUUGCUUUUUAUUCCUAAUUUUGCAAAUUACUUUUACUAUUUUUGUUUCGGAUUCUCUAAUUUAUUGUGUUCGAAUCUUUUUAAGUACUGUAAUUAGUUCUAAUAAAAUAAUAAGCAUAUGUUCCAUUACCAGUUUCAACUUAUCCUGCUUACAAGACAUCGAUAUCACUCGAAAAUGUUUAGGAAGUGUAAACGUAAAUUUCCCAUGUUUAUCAAAUGCAACAAACUGCUUCUAAUGGAUCGAAUUUUACAGCGGAAACAUUCGUACUCGCUUUUCAGCACUAUAUUGUGAUGCUCGGAUCCAUAGUUAUAAUUGCCACUAGUUUCGUGCCUCGGAUGGGUGGGGAUCAUGUAAGUUAUGUCCUCUAUACAGUAAAGUUUAUAAUAUGCCGGUUAAGAUUAGCGAUCACACACGUAGCUUUGAAUCCGUGAUGUUAAUGUUUGGGUUUUGUUCUCCCUUUGUGAUCAGGGUGACAAGGCACGCGUGAUUCAGACGAUGCUGUUUAUGGCAGCAAUAAACACUUUGAUCCAAACAUUCACGGGACAAGGCUUCCAACAGUGAUGACUUCGUCAUUCGCUUUUACCCUUCCGGUGAUGUCAAUCAUCAAUGAUUAUUCUGAUCGGAAUUUUAGAAGUGAACAUGAGGUAUGUAAAGUUUGAAACAUGUUAUUCAUAGAGGAUUUAACAUCACAUUAAUUUACUUCUUAAAUUGCUUUAAGAAAUUUCAGUUAUAGACUUUGAGAUGAAAAAUACGUGGUGCAAAAAACGUGUAAACCUUACAUACCUGUAGAAGACGUCAUGAUGAAUUUCUGGUUUUGAGGACGGAAUAGAUUGAAGCACGUCCAUGCACUGUUGCGUCAUAUGCAACAAACUGAUGGGGAGUUCUAGGGUUGUGGCAUUAGCAAUGUGACAGGGACCUCAAACUUACAUAGGCCUCACGUCCCUAGAACCCUACCCACUAAUGGAGACUAGAAACUCUUAUGAUCCUCUAACGAGAAUAAUAAAGCCAAUGGAAAUGUUAGCACACAAUUGUUGUACAUAUAACAGACUUCGAGCAAUUUUUGGAACACGUAAAACAUUGUUAAGAAUAAGAUCAUGAGUAUUGGUUUUAAUGGUUGUUGCAUCAAUAUUCUUAAUGGAUAAACCUGUUCCAUUUCCAACUGUGAUUUUAUCAAAACCUUGGAAUGGUGUAACUUGAUUCAAUGUGGUGGCAUCAGCAGUGAUAUGAUGAGAUGCACCAGUAUCAACAAUCCAUGCAUCAUGAGGAAUAUAUUGUUCUAUCUGCUGUGUUGCCAUAGCUGUUAAGUUUGCAGGUGGUUGUUGGCCUUGAAAAACAUAAUUCCCUUUGUGAUAACAUUCAAGAGCUGAGUGACCUUUUUUUCCCACAAAUCUGACACUCCAUUUGAAAUCUAGUAUUUGGUGUAGUAGCAUUUCUGUGAAAACAAUUGACUGCAGUAUGCCCUUUCUUGUUGCAGAUUUGGCACUCAAUCACUGUUGUUGACCUGCUCUCUGUGUUUCCAUUCCACACAUUUGAACCAUUUGACCUUGAAUUGCCAUACGAAAAAUCAGAAGAGUUUCCUAUGUUGUAACCCUUGCUUUUGAAUCCACCAUUUGUCUUGUAAUUAUUGUUACCCUUGUAGUUUGAACCACCAAAAGGUUUCUGCAUGAAAUGAGGUAUUGGACCAGAAUUUGAUGCAUUAGCCAUAAACCCAAAACCAUAGGGAACUUGAGGAUAAACUGGACCAGGAAAUUGCGGAGACAUAGGAGGUUGAGGCAUAUGAGGUUGCUGUGGAUAUUGUUGUGGCAAGACAAAUGGCUGUGGUUAUUGUGGCUGUGGAUAUUGUUGUGGAUAUUGCUGUGGUAAAACAAAUGGCUCAGCAGAAUAUGGAUAUGGAUUAGGAGUUAUAACACCACCAGUGGUUGCAGGUAAAUGACUAUGCCCUGCAGGAUUAGACCCUGAAGCAAAUGAAUUUCCCUGAGUUGACUAAGAACCCUAAACAUAUAAGGCAGAUAGACUUUGAGACCCAACACUUGUGUCUCAUUCAAUCUCUUUUUCAGCUCUAAAUUUUUUCAAGGAAAUGGAUGAUUCUUUGCCAUAUAUCACAGUUCGAAUAGUUGCAUACUCCUUCGGCAAACCAGCUAAACCAGCAAUUAUAACAUCAUUAUCAGAAAUGAACUCUCCAGUAGCAGUUAAUUGUUCUCUUAUACUCUUCAAUCUUAACAGAUAUUUAUCCAUCAAAUCUCCUCAUUUUUGAAUGGUGUACAACUCAAUUUUUAAAUGAUUUACCCUAGUUUUAGACACUGAAGCAAAUCUAUCCACAAGAUUCGACCAAGCCUCACAAGCAGUUAAACAUCCAAGAACAUAUUUAAUAGCCUCAUCAAACAAAGUAGCUAGUAAAAGACUUAGUAAUGGAUAUGUGGAUUCCCAUUCAACAUAUUCAGCAAGUUCAGAAGUAACUCCUCUCUUAGUAUCUAUUACAAAUUUUUGUGGACAACCAAUAGUGCCAUCAAAAUGCCCAAACAAUUUAUGACCUUUCAACACAUAUUUGAACUGAAAAGCCCAUUUCACAAAAUUAUCAUCCUUCAACUUUAUUGUGAUCAUUCCCAGUUUCAACUUUAACACUUGAAGUAGUCAUGAUUUCUUGAUCGAACACAUAGAAUUUGCAAAUAACAAACAAACACCCAAAAAUUUCUGAUAUACGUAUUGAAAGGAAAGACUGAAACUUUCUCACAACCCAAGCAAGACUGAAACUCGCUUAAUACUCAGGAAAAACUGAAACUUUCUUGAUGAAUCUUGCACACAAAUACAACACACAAUUCCAAUUCGGAAAAGAAAACACAAAAUCUUCUAAUCAGGACUGAAACCCAAUUACUCAACAGAAAUUCACACUAUCACUUGAAUUGCAGCUGUGAUUGCAGCCACAAAUAGCCAGAAUACCAACCGCCAGAAAGAACAACAAGGAUCUGCAAUCGCCAGAACUUUUGAACAAACCCGUUGAAAAGACCUUUCAGAAUCCUUGAACUGGAUAGCAGCGAAAGAACUAGGAUCGAAAACGGUAGUGAACCAUGGUCAGCGAUGAUACCAUAUUAACAGUGUUGAAUUGUGGCCAAGUGGCCAUCACCUUUCGGCUAAUAAACAAACAAAGAAAAGAAAAAGAAAGACAAAAUGAUGAGGAAACAUCAUGAUGAGGAGGCAUCAUGAUUAUGCUUUCUUGUAGUUUUUUAAUAACCAUAAUUAUUGUUUUUGUUUCGGGUAGAAGAGAAGAAAGGGAGAGCUCAUUUUUUAGAAGAAAGCAUAUUAAAGAGAGAAGAGGAGAGAGAGAAGGUAGAGCCUUUUGGUUAUAAAAGGCAUUCGAUUAUGCCUUUGGAUGUGGGAGGGGGGGGAGCGGCAGAUGAGAGAGCACAGGGAGAGCAUUCGGCUCUCCCAUUUGAAUAUGAGCUGCUCCUUCCCACCAUUUGUAAUAAUCCCAUUUUGUUAGUAAUCACUCAAUCAAAGAUGUUGGUGCUACUUGUGUAGCUUUUGGGAGAGAAGGAUUUUGAUAUGUGUUUCUUCUUCUCCAUUUGUUUCUUAGUUUGAGUGAGAGCUAUUGGGUGUAUGUGGGAUUUGGGUUUGAGUGUUGAACUCUAUUUGUAAUCUCCUUUUGAUAUUAAUGGAAUUUCCUCGCCGUCUCGGAACUGGAUGUAGGCUUACGCCAAACCAGUAUAAAAAUCCUUGUGUCUUUUGGAUUAUUUGUCUUGUCAUAUUUUGCCGUUAUUAGCUUUGAUUUCAUAUUUGAAGCUUCCGCACAACAAGUGGUAUCAAAGCUCCGGGUUUCGACUUGGAGGCUUUGUACUAGUAUGUCUAUGAAAUCUUCAAAUGACGGUGAAAUAUGUUUUUUGGAAAAAUUCGACUGGAGGAAUGACUUUGGCAUUUGGUCAAUUGGAGAUGCAGAGUUUGGCUGCAAAAUGCGUGGCGUUGAAGAAGGAUAGUAAGGGACUAUGCUGCAGUCAUUGAGCUUGCAGAUUGGAGAAUGGUUUCGGAAACAGCGUGUCUGCUGCAAUGUUGCCGUCGAUGUUGUUGAAGUGUUGGUGUUCGACAGCUGCAGAUGUAGUGUACUGCUUUUGGUGGGUUCUCUGUUGGUCAUCGCUGCACCGGAGGUGUUUGUGGGCUGUUGUCGACGAGUUGAGUGGGAAGGAGAAAAGGUAGAAGCAGUUGAAAAUUGAAAAGAAAAUGUUGGUUCUUUUUCUUUCGGCAUUUGUUUUGGCAGAAGGACAUCAUGAUGACAAAUGAUGUUGUUGGCUGGAAGAAAAGGGAAAAAGGCUAAGGCUAAGUUUUCUUUUCUUUGGCAUUUUUUCAACGGCAGAAAAUUUUUGGUUCUUUUUUCACUCCCAUUAGUUGCCUUUGGAGCAAGUUGAUGGAAACAUUGGAGGAGUUUGUGAGGGCCAAUUUGUUGAGUUCUGCAAGUUUGGAUAGUGAGGCACCACACUAUUUUGGAUACACCACAUGCACUGCAGAACAUUUGUGUGGAACCCUCUUGUAGAAGGCAAGUUAUAUGCUUUCUAACUUUGUUUGGUCUAUGGACAUUUAGUUGGAUUUGUUUGCCACUGCUAUUUGGUUUGUUGGUCUCCAUCAUCUGCAAUUAGUUUUCUUGAAGACUCCAGUUGAGGUAUGGUUUUGGAUCUCCUGCUGAUUAUUUGAAUUUGAAAUUUUUGGUUGUCCUGUUGGUGCUCAUGUGAUGAUGGUAAACUUGAGUGGAGGGCAUAGUUUUUUUGUAUGUGGUAUGUUAGACCUUGUUGCCAAAUUUGUAAUCAGUUUUGACUUGGAGAAUAUGCCGUGCUAUUUGAAUGAGUCUAUUGAUGCAGUUUAAGACCAUGGUGUUUGUAAGCAGGUGGAGUUCGUUCUGUGUCCAACUUUGGUAUGGUGUGCUUGAUCUUUUGUUAGUGAUAUUGAAGAAUUUCAGUUCUUCGUUUGAAUCACUUUUGUUUUGAUCAAGGCACUUAUGGUUUGCAAAUUUGGAGAAUACGGUAGAGAAAUGGUCUACUUUUGUUGGCUUUGGUAUAAUUUGAGUCGAGGUGGAGAUCAUUAUGAGUACCGGAAAGUUUGGGGAAUUUGAUUUAGUUCCCGUUGUCUUUAGUUUGUACUUUGGGUGAUUAUGGUGAUUGUUGAUUCGAUUCUCUGUGAUGGUUUCGGAACUUGGCCAAGGUGGAGAUUGUUGAAUUGUGGCCAAGUGGCCAUCAUCGGCUAAUAAACAAACAAAAGAAAAGAAAAAGAAAGACAAAAUGAUGAGGAAACAUCAUGAUGAGGAGGCAUCAUGAUUAUGCUUUCUUCUUUUGUGGUUUUUUAAUAACCAUAAUUAUUGUUUGUUUAUUAGCCGAAAGGUGAUGGCCACUUGGCCACAAUUCAACAAUCUCCACCUUGGCCAAGUUCCGAAACCAUCACAGAGAAUCGAAUCAACAAUCACCAUAAUCACCCAAAGUACAAACUAAAGACAACGGGAACUAAAUCAAAUUCCCCAAACUUUCCGAUACUCAUAAUGAUCUCCACCUUGACUCAAAUUGUACCAAAGCCAACAAAAGUAGACCACUUCUCUACCGUCUUCUCCAAAUUUAAAUCCUAUGAAGAAAGGGAGAGCUCAUUUUUUAGAAGAAAGCAGAUUGAAGAGAGAAGAGGAGAGAGAAGGUAGAACCUUUUGGUUAUAAAAGGCAUUCGAUUAUGCCUUUGGAUGUGGGGAGAGCGGCAGAUGAGAGAGCACAGGGAGAGCAUUCGGCUCUCCCAUUUGAAUAUGAGUUGCUCCUUCCCACCAUUUGUAAUAAUCCAAUUUUGUUAGUAAUCACUCAAUCAAAGAUGUUGGUGCUACUUGUGUAGCUUUUGGGAGAGAAGGAUUUUGAUAUGUGUUUCUUCUUCUCCAUUUGUUUCUUAGUUUGAGUGAGAGCUAUUGGGUGUAUGUGGGAUUUGGGUUUGAGUGUUGAACUCUAUUUGUAAUCUUCUUUUGAUAUUAGUGGAAUUUCCUCGCCGUCUCGGAACUGGAUGUAGGCUUAUGCCGAACCAGUAUAAAAAUCCUUGUGUCUUUUGGAUUAUUUGUCUUGUCAUAUUUUGCCAUUAUUAGCUUUGGUUUCAUAUUUGAAGCUUCAGCAAUACAAACAGUACAAGAUCAAUGAAUUCCUAUGAAUGAAUAAACUAAAGAAAUCGAAGAAAGAGAAUAACGAGAGAGAAAAGCUUUUCAUUUAUAUUGCUCUAACAGAAAAUGAUUACAUGAUAAAAAUCUAAGUCUCCAAAACAAUAAUUAUAUAGAGACUAGAAUGAGCAGAAUCACAAUAUUGCCUUUCUAACUAAUUCUUAUCUUCUAACAACCUCAACACUCACAAGCUUGACACUUGUCAUUUCUUACAACCACUCCUAACAAAUCCUAACUGUUUAUCUGGUUAAUAUAACGGAUGGCCGACGACCGACACCGAGAUUUUCCCAAACCUUGGUCCUUACUCUCGUAUAAAUUCGAAACGAACAGUAAACAAUUUUCUCGCAAUCGGAAGCACGGCAAACAUGGAUCUGAGAGAAAGCAUCAUCAACCAAAACGACGUCGCAAGGAGGCUGACGAAGCAGCUGGUUCAGACCGAAGGCAAGCAGUCGAACCUCGUGUACUCGCCGCUGUCCAUCCACGUGGUGCUGAGCCUGAUCGCAGCCGGGUCAAAGGGUCCCACCCAGGAGCAGCUGCUCUCAUUCCUCAAGUCAGAGUCCACCGACCACCUCAACUCCUUCGCCUCCCAGCUCCUGCCCUUUAUCUUCUCCGAUGGGUCCCCCGUGGGCGGCCCCAAGCUGGCGUUUGCGAAUGGCGUUUGGGUGCAGAAGCCUCUCCCUCUGAAGCCUUCCUUCAAGCAGGUGGUGGAAGCUUCUUACAGGGCCGCUCUCGUCCUAGUUGAUUUUCAGACCAAUGUAAGCUCCCAAACCCUCUGUCAUGUCGUUUCGAUUGUUUUUGUCGAUGCUGCUCAUGAUCAAAGUCUUUGGUUGUAAUUUCAGACCAAUGUUUCAAUGUCGAUGCUGCUGAUGCUCUUUUGUUCGUUACUGUUUUUGGUUGUAAUUGAUCGAGAUAUGCAGGUUGAUAUCAUUGUUUUCUAACUUGUCGUAACUGUUGUUGGUGCUCAAGGCUGCUCAAGUGGAGUCGGAAGUGAAUUCAUGGGCUGAAAAGGAGACGAGCGGCCUUAUCAAGGAUCUACUUCCUCCCGGGUCACUUGACAGCUUCACCAGGCUCAUCUUUACCAAUGCAUUAUACUUCAAGGGAGCUUGGAAUGAGAAAUUUGAUGCAACAGCUACAAAAGAGCAUGACUUCCACCUUCUCGACGGGAGCACAGUUAAGGCGCCCUUCAUGACCAACAAGAACCAGCAGUAUGUAAGUGCCUUUGACGGUUUCUCAGUCUUAGGGCUUCCUUACAAACAAGGUGAAGACAAGCGGCGCUUCUCCAUGCACAUCUUUCUUCCACAGGAGAAAGAUGGGCUGCCAGCUUUGGUUGAGAAACUUGGCUCUGAGUCCGGGUUUUUAGAUCGCUAUCUUCCCAAACAACCAGUUGCAGUGGGCGACUUCAGAAUCCCAAAGUUUAAGAUCUCAUUUGGGUUUGAAGCUUCCAAUGUCCUAAAGAGUCUGGGACUGGUGCUGCCUUUCGUGGGUGGAGGUCUGACAGAGAUGGUGGACUCGCCCGAGGGUAAGAAGCUAUAUGUUUCCAACAUAUUCCACAAGUCGUUCAUCGAAGUGAAUGAAGAAGGCACAGAAGCUGCAGCUGCUUCUGCCGGCGUUAUAAGUGAUAGGAGGAUGCCCAUGACAUUUGUGGCUGAUCGUCCGUUCCUCUUCACGAUCAGGGAAGAAACGACCGGAACAGUUCUGUUCAUCGGUAACCUGCUCAACCCUCUUGCCGGCUGAGUGUUACAAUCCCCUGGGAAAAGGCAUCAUGUGUACGUAGAAUAAUACGAGAGUAUAGUAAAUAAAAUGUAUGAUCCUUGUAUACAUGUGCUAGGUUUGGUUAUUACCUAAUCACCCUGUACUUGCCGCAGUUGGUCUUGUUUCUCCCAUGUGGCGAUUGUUGCUCGUUCUCCCAUGGCGUUUAUCUAUUUGUACAAUCUUGAUUCUGAAUACUUAUUUUAUGUUGUACUCUGUUUGAACAAUUAAAGUUUUAGCCGACUGCAAACGUCGGUUAAGUGUUAAAGUAUUUGGACAGGGAUUGUCUGCUUUUUCAUUUUUCGUGUCCUUCUGUUUUGUGUGUUCACAGUUAAACUACGUCAAUAUUUUAUAUUAUUUUUUUAUAGAAAUAAUAAGAUAAAAAUAAAUAAUAAUAUAAAAUAUUAACGUGACUUAACUGUAACCACACAAACAGGAGGGCACGGAAGACCACCGGAAGUGGAAGAGCGGACAUUCUUGUCCAAAGUAUUUAAUAUAUAGAAUGUACGAGUGCUAGUGCUGUACCAUAUACAUGGUUGGUGAUGAAAAGGAUUAAACUAUGAAUAUUCUAUAAAAUAUUAUUUACCCUAGGACGAGGAUUUUCUUUGGAUCUUCUUUACGAGGAUCUUAGGAAUUAAUUCAUUUUAACGGUUUAUUGUACAUCGUACGGUCAACUUUCGUUAGAUACUUUUUAUGUUUAAUUUUAAAUAAAUUCAAAAUAAUUUUUCACUGCAUGAUGCAUUGAUUCCUAAAGCACUCGCAAAGAGACUCCAGAUGUUUAGUUCUCCAUGACUGGAGAUGGCCUAAGAUGCUAAACACUUAACACUAACCAAUUUUUCCGGUUAGUUAAAUUGUUUAAUAAAUGCUAUCCACACUCUAAAAUAAUUGACCAUAUUUUCUUGACUCUUUUGUUAGAUUGCAUGAAAUAUUGUUCGAGUAAAUAAUCUCUCAAGUAUCACUCAGACUUCAUAAUGAUUUUGAUUUUGAUUACAUAGUAAGCAUGUCAUUAAGGUCAAAUUUUGAACAAACACCCAAUUACAUAGCACGCAUGUUAUUAUGGUGUAUGCUCAUUGUCACUUUCAAAACUUGACACCUGUCUACUAACAUAACCGAUGGCCGACGACCGACACCUUCCCAAACCUUGGUCCUUACCCUCGUAUAAAUUCGAAACGAACAGUAAACAAUUUUCUCGCAAUCGGAAGCACGGCAAACAUGGAUCUGAGAGAAAGCAUCAUCAACCAAAACGACGUCGCAAGGAGGCUGACGAAGCAGCUGGUUCAGACCGAAGGCAAGCAGUUGAACCUCGUGUACUCGCCGCUGUCCAUCCACGUGGUGCUGAGCCUGAUCACAGCCGGGUCAAAGGGUCCCACCCAGGAGCAGCUGCUCUCAUUCCUCAAGUCAAAGUCCACCGAUCACCUCAACUCCUUCGCCUCCCAGCUAGUGUCCGUGAUCUUCUCCGAUGGGUCCCCCGUGGGCGGCCCCAAGCUGGCGUUUGCGAAUGGGCUUUGGGUGCACAAGCCUCUCACGCUGAAGCCUUCCUUCAAGCAGGUGGUGGACGCUUCUUACAAGGCAGCUCUCGCCCUAGUCGAUUUUCAGACUAAUGUAAGCUCCCAAACCCUCUGUCAUGUCGUUUCGAUAGUUUUUUUUUCAAUGCUGCUCAUGAUCAAAGUCCUGAAUUUUUUUUCCCGAUUUGAUUAGAGAUGUAUAAAUAUUUCCUAAAUUGCAGGCCUGCUGAUGCUCUUUUAUUCUUGUAGCAUUUCAACUAAAUAUUUCCUCUCUAAUCAUUACUGUUUGUGCUUGUUCUUGUGCAUAGCCGUUACGAAAUCGUAUCGAAGAUUUUUUUGUUCGUUACUGUUUGUGGUUAUAAUCUAGGUAUUAAAUAUUGAUAAUAUCGGAAAUAUCGGUAGUCCAGAAACACGGAAAUAUUGAUGGAAAUAUCGGGAUAUUAUCGAUAUGUAUAAAAAUAAUAUGGAAACCACGGAAAUUGUAAGAAAAACUUGGAAAUUUUUAUUGAAACUUUGCAGGAUGUUUAUUUAGUCAAUUAUCUAUUAGUUUAUCACAAAAUAUUGGAAGGAAAUGUAUUACAUAAUAGAUUUAACUGAUUUAAGUUGAUUAUAUAGCGAACUAGCGAACUACCAAACAUUAUGAGUUAGAAAAUAUGUAGUAAUUAAUAAAAGAAGUUUAAACACACAGUCACCGACUAUUAAAAAUUGUACAUGUAAAAGCUGUAAAAGUUGAAUUAUUUAGAUGCUUUUUUUUCUUACAUGCCACCCACACACACACACACACAGACUCUCACACGCCAACACACACGCACACACAGAUCACACACACAUCACACACACAGACAGAGACUGAGGUCUCUCUUUCUCGAUCCUUCUCUCUUCUCUCUCGAUCCUUCUCCCUUCUCUUCGACAGAGACUGAGGUCUAUCUCUCUCUCGAUCCUUCUCUCUUCUCUCCCUUCUCCAUUCUCCCACACACACACCCAGAUCUCUCGAUCUCUCUUCUCCCUUCUCCCACACACACGCACAGAGACCUCGCCCCUCCCCCCUCGUCAUCGUCUCCACCGCAAAUCUAGGUCUUUGAACGUAAAUUGCAGGCCUGCUGAUGCUCUUUUAUUCUUGUAGCAUUUCAACUAAAUAUUUCCUCUCUAAUCAUUACUGUUUGUGCUUGUUCUUGUGCAUAGCCGUUACGAAAUCAUAUCGAAGAUUUUUUGUUUGUUACUAUUUGUGGUUAUAAUCUAGGUAUUAAAUAUUGGUAAUAUCGGUAGUCCAGAAACACGGAAAUAUUGAUGGAAAUAUCGGGAUAUUAUCGAUAUGUAUAAAAAUAAUAUGGAAACCACGGAAAUUGUAAGAAAAACUUGAAAAUUUUUAUUGAAACUUUGCAGGAUGUUUAUUUAGUCAAUUAUCUAUUAGUUUAUCACAAAAAAAUUGGAAGGAAAUGCAUUGCAUGAUAGAUUUAACUGAUUUAAGUUGAUUAUAUAGCGAACUAGCGAACUAGCAAACAUUAUGAGUGUAGAAAAUAUGUAGUAAUUAAUGAAAGAAGUUUAAACACACAGUCACCGACUAUUAAAAAUUGUACAUGUAAAAGCUGUAAAAGUUGAAUUAUUUAGAUGUUUUUUUUUCUUACAUGCCAUCCACACACACACACACACACAGACUCUCACACGCCAACACACACCACGCAUACACAGAUCACACACACAGACAGAGACUGAGGUCUCUCUCUCUCGAUCCUUCUCUCUUCUCUCUCGAUCAUUCUCCAUUCUCUCUCGACCUAGACUGACUCUCUCUCUCUCUCUCUCUCUCUCUCUCUCUCUCUCUCUCUCUCUUUCCCACACACACACAGAUCUUUCGAUCUCUCUUCUCCCUUCUCCCACACACACGCACAGAGACAUCGUCCUUCGUCAUCGUCAUCGUCUCCCACACACACGCACAGAGACCUCGCCCCUCGUCAUCGUCUCCACCGCAAAUCUAGGUCUUUGAACGUAAAUUGCAGGCCUGCUGAUGCUCUUUUAUUCUUGUAGCAUUUCAACUAAAUAUUUCCUCUCUAAUCAUUACUGUUUGUGCUUGUUCUUGUGCAUAGCCGUUACGAAAUCGUAUCGAAGAUUUUUUGUUCAUUACUGUUUGUGGUUAUAAUCUAGGUAUUAAAUAUUGGUAAUAUCGGAAAUAUCGGUAGUCCAGAAACAUGGAAAUAUUGAUGGAAAUAUCGGGAUAUUAUCGAUAUGUAGAAAAAUAAUAUGGAAACCACAAAAAUUGUAAGAAAAACUUGAAAAUUGUUAUUGAAACUUUGCAGGAUGUUUAUUUAGUCAAUUAUAUAUUAGUUUAUCACAAAAAAUUGGAAGGAAAUGCAUUGCAUGAUAGAUUUAACUGAUUUAAGUUGAUUAUAUAGCGAGCUAGCAAACAUUAUGAGUAGAAAAUAUGUAGUAAUUAAUGAAAGAAGUUUAAACACACAGUCACAGACUAUUAAAAAUUGUACAUGUAAAAGCUGUAAAAGUUGAAUUAUUUAGAUACUUUUUUUUCUUACACGCCACCCACCCACACACACACACACACUCUCACACGCCAACACACACGCACACACAUACACACAUCACACACAGACAGAGACUGAGGUCUCUCUUUCUCGAUCCUUCUCUCUUCUCUCUCGAUCAUUCUCCCUUCUCUCCGACAGAGACUGAGGUCUCUCUCUCUCUCUCGAUCCUUCGCUCUUCUCUCCCUUCUCCAUUCUCCCACACACACACACAGAGAUCUCUCGAUCUCUCUUCUCCCUUCUCCCACACACACGCACAGAGACAUCGUCCCUUGUCAUCGUCAUCGUCUCCCACACACACAUACACAGACCUCGCCCCUCGCCCCUCGUCAUCGUCUCCAUCGCAGAUCUAGGUCUUUGAAUGUCAAAGUUUCGAGCGCACCUCAAAUCCAGGCAAUCUGAUUCUGACGCUGUAGUCGUCGCCGCCACCACCAACUUCCUAAGCCAAGAAUGGAGAACCUGAUCUCGUUGGUGAACAAAAUCCAGAGGGCUUGUACUACUCUAGGGGACUAUGGCGAAGGUAGUGCAUUCGUCGUCGCCGUCGUCGCCAUCGCCGUCAGUGGUCAGAUCAACUCCCGGUCCCUCACCUUCUUACCUCUUCGAUUGAUUCAUGCAUAUGAAUUGUGGUUGUGUUUUCAAUCGCUCUGUAGCUUAGAUCUUGAUCUUAAUCAUGUUUUUGCAAGGUUUUUGGGAUGAAAUCGGCUCGGGAAUCGGCACACCCAUUUCCGGCGUUCUUCUCCGAGUAGCCAGUUCCAAAAAUAUCGUGAUAAUUUCGGAAAUAUUACGAUAUUAUCGAUAGUAUAGCUAUAUUUUGACGAAAACCCUUUGGAUACCUAUUAAAAUAUCGGUCCGGCGAAAAACCGAUAAUAUCGACGAUAUAUUGGCGAUUUUGUUCCUUGGUUAUAAUUGAUCGAGAUAUGCAGGCUGAUAUCAUUGUUUUCUAACUUGUCGUAACUGUUGUUGGUGCUCAAGGCUGCUCAAGUGGCGUCGGGAGUGAAUUCAUGGGCUGAAAAGGAGACGAGCGGCCUUAUCAAGGAUCUACUUCCUCCCAGGUCACUUGACAGCUCAACCAGGCUCAUCUUUACGAAUGCAUUGUACUUCAAAGGAGCUUGGACUGAGAAAUUUGAUGCAUCAGCUACAAAAGAGCAUGACUUCCACCUUCUCGACGGGAGCACAGUUAAGGCGCCCUUCAUGACCAGCAAGAGGAAGCAGUAUGUAAGUGCCUUUGACGGUUUCUCAGUCUUAGGGCUUCCUUACAAACAAGUUGAAGACAAGCGGCGCUUCUCCGUGCACAUCUUUCUUCCAGAGGAGAAAGAUGGGCUGCCAGCUUUGGUUGAGAAACUUGGCUCUGAGUCCGGGUUUUUGGAUCGAUAUCUUCCCAAACAACCAGUUGCAGUGGGCGACUUCAGAAUCCCAAAGUUUAAGAUCUCAUUUGGGUUUGAAGCUUCCAAUGUCCUAAAGAGUCUGGGACUGGUGCUGCCUUUCGAGGGUGAAGGAGGUCUGACAGAGAUGGUGGACUCGCCCGAGGGUAAGAAGCUAUAUGUUUCCAGCAUAUUUCACAAGUCGUUCAUCGAAGUGAAUGAAGAAGGCACAGAAGCUGCAGCUGCUUCUGCCGGCGUUAUAAGUCAGAGGAGUAUGCCCAUGACAUUUGUGGCUGAUCAUCCAUUCCUCUUCACGAUCAGGGAAGAAACCACAGGAACAGUUCUGUUCAUCGGUAACCUGCUCAACCCUCUUGCCGGCUGAGUGUUACAAUCCCCUGGGAAAAGGCAUCAUGUGUACGUAGAAUAAUACGAGACUAUAGUAAAUAAAAUGUAUGAUCCUUGUAUACAUGUGCUAGGUUUGGUUAUUACCUAAUCACCCUGUACUUGCCGCAGUUGGUCUUGUUUCUCCCAUGUGGCGAUUGUUGUUCGUUCUCCCAUAUGGCGUUUAUCUAUUUGUAGAAUCUUGAUUCUAAAUACUUAUUUUAUGUUGUACUCUGUUUGAACAAUU
RNAcentral lists this long non-coding RNA (18249 nucleotides) under Malus domestica (apple). RNAcentral describes it as "long non-coding RNA (MDOM_LNC007255)". The record is from RNAcentral. Lineage: Eukaryota; Viridiplantae; Streptophyta; Magnoliopsida; Rosales; Rosaceae.